Long non-coding RNA from Rosa rugosa (rugosa rose), 589 nucleotides. RefSeq lists it as uncharacterized. The transcript is spliced from 3 exons. Lineage: Eukaryota; Viridiplantae; Streptophyta; Magnoliopsida; Rosales; Rosaceae. The record is from RefSeq and is a predicted model, not a curated record.
UGAAAUUGAAGUUUUGACGUCGAAAUCAAGCCUUGCCGGAUUCUGCAAAUUUCGCCGGAUUCUGGAAAUUUUCCGGCCACCUCGACUGUUUUAGGUGAUUGACGGUCUCCCUUGGGUGAGCGAUUUCGGUGUGUAUUGUGUUAAACUGAAGACGCAGCGGGAAUAUCGAGCGGGUAAUCCUACAGGUCAAGAGAAUCAGGACGGAGAUCGAGCUGCGUAGAGUAGCUGCAAUUGUGUCAAUCUGAAUUGCUUUGUGAGCCGGUGAGGUGUGUUAUGCUCAUUUAGAGCUUUACAAUAUUUCUUGUGAGAGUGAAUUGUAAUAAUGAACUCGAGGUUUCGAAAUUUGAAGUUUGUGUAUCGUGUGGUGAGGUUGUUUUGAGAAAAAAAUUCAGAACGUUUAUUUGAUUAAGUGGUUUAAUUCAUGUUUCGGAUUUGAACUUAUUAUUCAAAAUUCGGGGCGUGACAGUUUGGUAUCAGAGCGUAAGGUGCAUAUUCGGUGAUGUGUCAAUACUUUCCGAGUGAUGGCCCGUCUGCAGCGGAUCCCCAUCGUGUGCUCUUCGGUAUUGGCUAAGUCAUUGGGUAUGCGUGA